Triticum aestivum (bread wheat) is the source of this 1355-nucleotide RNA transcript. It is a transcript of the gene named 50S ribosomal protein L10, chloroplastic, with no coding region annotated. NCBI's taxonomy places the organism in Eukaryota, Viridiplantae, Streptophyta, Magnoliopsida, Poales, Poaceae. The record is from RefSeq and is a predicted model, not a curated record. The transcript has 2 exons.
AGCUGGAAACUCUCUGUGCGAAUCGCGCAUAGCAGCUCCCCGAGUCGAAAGUCAGACGCACACUCGCAUCGACGCCCCCAGAACCGUCGCCGCCGCCACCAGCGCCGACUAUGACGUCCGUGCGCAGCGCCGCCGGGGUCGCGCUGCCGCCUAUCCGCCUGGCGGUGGAGCGGGCGCGCCAGGAGGCGCUCCGGCGCGAGCUGGACGGGUGCCAGCUCCUGGCGGGCAUCUGGUGCCACGGCUUCACGGUGGCGCAGCUCCGCAGCAUCCGCGCGUCGCUCCCCUCCACGGCGCGGCUGCUGGUCGCCAAGAACUCCGACCUCGCGGCGGCGGUCGAGGGCACGCGCUGGGAGUCGCUCCGCCCCUGCGCCCGUGGCAUGAACGCCUGGCUCUUCGUGCGCUCCGACGAGAUCCCGCCGGCCCUCCGGCCCUACCGCGACUUCCAGAAGGAGUGGCGCCUCCAGCUCAACGACUUCACCGGCGCCGUCUACGAGGGCCGCCUCUACGGCCCCGACGACUUCGCGCAGCUCGAAGCCAUGCCCACCAGGGUGCAGUCCUACCAGUACCUCCUCGGAUGCCUCCAGAUGCCCGCCGUCUCCGUCCUCGCCGCCCUCCGCGCGCGCCAGGAGGCCAUGACGCAGGCCGAGAAGCCGCCAGCCGAGGAGGCGGCUCCUGCUCCUGCUCCGGAGAAGUGAUCCAGCCGUUGACGCCGAGGUUCCUCAGUUAUCACACCUGCAGCUCCUUUCUCUUUUGCAGAUUUUGAAUUCAGUGUUAGUAGAGAACAUCCACAAAACCAUCAUAAGGAUGCAUUGCUCUUAUGUAUCAUCAGUUCAUGAACUGACUUUUGAAUGGGAAGAAAUGUGAUGUUGGAUUGCCAUUGAUGAUGAUUUAACUAACAAAUGGGAAGAAAUUUAACUAACAAAAUAUAAACUAUAUGUCACAAAAAUUAUAUUGUCGGAAAGCUCUUUCAAAUACAAACCCAACAGUCUAAUUUUUUUAUAGCACAUAAUUUAUAUUUUAGUAGUCUACAGAUAGCCAAAGUCUAGCCCAAAAUACGAAGGGCCGAUAAACCCAGACGGAGGUAGUAUUUUGUCUGGGAACAAAUGUGGUGCUGUUGAAUUGCCACUGCCAAAGUGCCAAUGUAAUACUGCAUUUGAUUUCAGGUGCAAAUGGGCGGAUGCGGUUUAAUCUGCAGUUGUUUGGCAAUGUGAUCAGCUCAGGAAAACUGAACCACAAAUGUGAUCACCACUCUCUUUUGUGUGAAUGUUGAACUGGCCGACUCGGUCAUCAGACUGUCGAAUAUCGUAAGCACCAUUGUUUCAGUACGACUUGUAUCAGUUAUAUCAUAUCGUUUA